Long non-coding RNA from Helianthus annuus (common sunflower), 1116 nucleotides. RefSeq lists it as uncharacterized. The transcript is spliced from 3 exons. Lineage: Eukaryota; Viridiplantae; Streptophyta; Magnoliopsida; Asterales; Asteraceae. The record is from RefSeq and is a predicted model, not a curated record.
AACACACACUCAUGUGUGUGUUCUGGUCGUGAUUUACACAGGAGCCAAAAAGGGUUUUUAUCAAAACCCUAAAUCACAAGAAAUUCAGCCAAAUCAAGGGAAAUCAAGCUAGGAAAUUGGGGCUUUUAAUAAAUUAGUGAUCACCAAACCUAGGGGAUUACAAGUUUGACGCCUAACAAGCUAGGUGGAAGCUUGUGGAUGAAGCGGGUCAAACGGAGCGCGUACGGAAAGAAAGGCGUGGCAUGGAUGCAAGGUGUAAAUGUCAAAUGGGUAUUAGCAACGCUAUGAAUUAGCGGUUAUAAAAGCAAGGUAUUAAAAACGGGUCAAUAUAUUGGUCUGCGCCAGGUAUGUGAAAAAGGGUAACCCUCAUUUAGAACAUGUGGUUCAAAGAGUGUUAAAAGUAGUCAAGGUGAACAUUUGGUUACUUGAUAAGUAAACCAAAUAUUUUAGGUAAGGAACAUUGUAUUUGGAAAGCUUAAUGACUUUUCAAACAAAAUCAUAGGUUAAAAGAGGGAUUACGGGUCAAAAUAAGCAUACGAGUGAAAACGGGUUUUAAAUUGUGUAAUAAACCUGUGAUUAUAACCUAAUAUGGUAAAUAACCUUAAUUUGAAGUAGUGUACGUGAAAUAAAGGUUAGACAAGUAUGUUUGUUUGAUAAACAUAUAAACGGGUCAAAAUUUUGGUAAAAGAGUAAUAAGCCGAAGACUUAAAAGUCUUAAAUUUUAUUAAUCCGGAUGUUGGAUUUUAACUCCAUAUGAUGGAAGAUUAAAUUACAAUCAUGUAGGAAGAAACGGUAGAUCAAACGGAUAAGCGGUUUGAAAGAUACGAAAGUUUUCGUGUCGAAUAACGGCAAAAAUAGAGAAGCUGGAUGCAGAGUCCACCGUAAUUUACGGUCCCACCGUAAAUUACGGUGGAGAUGAAUUGGUUACGGUGCUAAUUGUCUGUUGUACGGUAGAAGAAUAGAAACCUAGGGGCCAUCGUAAUUUACGGUCCCACCGUAAAUUACGGUGGAGAUUAUUUUUUUAUAUUUUGUUUUCAUUUGAAAAUCAAUUGUUUCCCGGACAUCGUUCGGACAUGAUUUAAACCCCGUAUGACUAAAGCAUUUCAUGUUUAUGAA